This is a long non-coding RNA of Catharus ustulatus (Swainson's thrush), 1717 nucleotides long. RefSeq lists it as uncharacterized. Lineage: Eukaryota; Metazoa; Chordata; Aves; Passeriformes; Turdidae. The transcript is spliced from 3 exons. The record is from RefSeq and is a predicted model, not a curated record.
GCUGAUCCCACAUCAAGGACGGAAAAAGAUCUGAUUGCCUUGCCUAAACAUGCUCUGCCUCAUCCCUCUGUCCCAUAUCUGUUCCCGAGAGGAGCUCCCGAUGUCUGGGAUACCCCAGCUCUGCUGUCUGGAGGUUGUGGAAAUUCACAAUCCCGUAGCCACAAUUUUAGUUCUACCCUACAACUACGCUGCUUUUCCAGCUUCCCGUAAUUUGAUCGCUCCCUUGUUGCUUUUUGAUGUCUCCAGCAGAAGCAGCUGCGCAGCCCUCGCUUCCCCUUCUGCCGCCGGGCUGAGUCACCAUGUACACACCGAUUAAUGUCAAACUCCACCUCUCCUUUGAGGUAUUAAUUUUGGAUGAAAUCUUCUAUUUCCUCUUCGCUGAAACAGAAGCGUGUGGAGCCUUGAGCUCUUAGUUGCUGUCCUGGCUGUGGGGUGAUGGACACAAAAACAUCAAAUACACACCGAUGGAAGGGACGCUGAGUGAUUAAAUCAAAUUGGGAGACGGCAAUGGCAUUAACCGGGGGCGGUUUUGGAACCGGAGACUUCCAAGCCCAGUUACAAACAAGUCCCUUGACACCAGAUCAGGCCAAAUAUUCAAUCAACCACACGCCACAGGCUCGGGGGCCAGGCUUGUCCCAAAAGAACCCGAAGGGAAGAGCAGGGGCUGGAGCUCUCGGGCGCAGCUGCCACAAGAGGUCCCUGCACGCCCGCUGGAGAGCUGGGAGCUCCAUCCGAUGGGAUUCUCAUUCCCACCUUAUUUGGAGAUACUGCCUUUUUCACCCAGAUUUCCAGAAGUUUUCCGACUGUCCCCAAACGACCUCGUUUUGUGCGGAGAGGCAGCGGAGCCUGGUGCCGGGUGGCUGCUGUGCCUGCUCCCAGCAGGGCAGGGGACUCCCUGCAGACACCAGCAAGGACGAGCCCAGGUCCAUCCCAAAAUGCCACAGUGGGGACUUUCCAGCAGCAGCCGGGGUGUAAAUCGAGGGACUUGGCACAAGGGACUUGUUGGAGAAACCUGUGUUGACAGCAGAGUGUCCCUAAGGAUGCUGCAGGGUCAGCUGUUGCUCCAGGGCUUGGGCUGGACCAUCAGUCAUGAACCAGUGGCACAAAGGAUGUGUUCUCUCCUCCCUCCAGCUGCACAGGUAUGCCAUGGGAUAAGUAAAAUUCCAUUGACUGGCAAAUCCCAGCAUGAACAGGUCUCCACUGCUUUCAGCAGCUGCCAUGCCCCAAAUAUUACCCUCAAAAGUUUUGAUUUUUUGAGCUGUUGAUGUGCUGCUAUUUGUAAGGUUUCAGGUUUCUUCUUUCCUUUGCCAGUGUUCACUGUGAAGUGGUGCCAGGUGUCUGCCAGGCCUGUAUCCCAUCUCUCACCAUCACCAGACAUGAAUGUUAGGAAGAAAAUGGGAAACACCACAUAUAAUUAUUCUUCCCCUGUAAGCAAAUUCAUUCCCAGUAAAUAUUUAAUUUUCCUCGUCUUCUUCCCUUGUGGGAUAAACAAUUUUUUCCCUGUUUAAUUCACCAGUCUCAAGCUUAAGUAAUUUUGGAUGAAUAUGCAUGUGCUUUGUGAUGACCUCACCAUGCAUUUGUUGGGGUUUUUUUGCACUUCAGACAGGUUAAAAAUGAAUCCUCCAAGGUGGAGGCACGUCCCAGCCCCUACACCCAGUUCAGCAUCACACCCUCUAAACCCACUCAAUUCCUCUUGUUUUACAAAUACAAGCCCAGG